GAUGAACGCUGGCGGCGUGCCUAAUACAUGCAAGUCGAGCGAACAGACGAGGAGCUUGCUCCUCUGACGUUAGCGGCGGACGGGUGAGUAACACGUGGAUAACCUACCUAUAAGACUGGGAUAACUUCGGGAAACCGGAGCUAAUACCGGAUAAUAUAUUGAACCGCAUGGUUCAAUAGUGAAAGACGGUUUUGCUGUCAUUUAUAGAUGGAUCCGCGCCGCAUUAGCUAGUUGGUAAGGUAACGGCUUACCAAGGCAACGAUGCGUAGCCGACCUGAGAGGGUGAUCGGCCACACUGGAACUGAGACACGGUCCAGACUCCUACGGGAGGCAGCAGUAGGGAAUCUGCCGCAAUGGGCGAAAGCCUGACGGAGCAACGCCGCAUGAGUGAUGAAGGUCUUCGGAUCGUAAAACUCUGUUAUUAGGGAAGAACAAAUGUGUAAGUAACUAUACACGUCUUGACGGUACCUAAUCAGAAAGCCACGGCUAACUACGUG
Molecule: ribosomal RNA, 497 nt
Filed under: uncultured bacterium
Lineage: Bacteria
Description: partial 16S ribosomal RNA
Rfam family: Bacterial small subunit ribosomal RNA
Source: RNAcentral